CUACGGGGCGCUCCAGGCGCGAAACCUUUACAAUGCACGCAAGUGUGAUAAGGGGAUCCUAAGUGCUCAUGCAUAGCAUGGGCUUUUGCCAAGAGUAAAUAUCUUGGAGAAUAAGUGGUGGGUAAGACUGGUGCCAGCCGCCGCGGUAACACCAGCGCCACGAGUGGCAUCCACGUUUAUUGGGCCUAAAGCGUCCGUAGCCGGUUUGGUAAAUUUCUUGUGAAAUCGUCGGGCUCAACCCGACGGCGCGCUUGAAACACUGCCAGACUUGAGACCGGGAGGAGUUAGAGGUAUUCCAGGGGGAGCGGUAAAAUGUGAUAAUCCCUGGAGGAUCACCUAUGGCGAAGGCAUCUAACCAGAACGGAUCUGACGGUCAGGGACGAAGGCUAGGGGAGCGAUCCGGAUUAGAUACCCUCGUAGUC
RNAcentral lists this ribosomal RNA (422 nucleotides) under uncultured archaeon. RNAcentral describes it as "partial 16S ribosomal RNA". It matches the Rfam family "Archaeal small subunit ribosomal RNA", at positions 323 to 746 of the family's 1478-position model. The record is from RNAcentral.